Molecule: long non-coding RNA, 270 nt
Filed under: Lathyrus oleraceus (garden pea)
Lineage: Eukaryota; Viridiplantae; Streptophyta; Magnoliopsida; Fabales; Fabaceae
Description: Pisum sativum (pea) long non-coding RNA (PSAT_LNC001440)
Source: RNAcentral
AAGGUGUGCAGCACUUGCUGGAAAGAAAGGGGUACGUGGCUUCUUUGCAGGGAACAGCACUGCACAAUAUUCUCUAUCUUUGAUGUUGAAAUCACUUUUCUAAUGCUGCAAUUUCGAGAAUGUGUACACGUACUAGAUUUUUAUUUGAUGACAAAAACAACAUUGUCAUAACUAUGAUUUCAACAGAUUUUUUUAUUGUGCUUUCCAAGUAAGAGAGUGGUCACAUGCUCGCUCUCUAGUCUCUAUCCUCGUUUGGUUGGCCUAACUAAU